RNAcentral lists this transfer RNA (77 nucleotides) under Proteus sp. ZN5. RNAcentral describes it as "tRNA-Glu". It matches the Rfam family "tRNA". From Rfam's summary of the family: Transfer RNA (tRNA) molecules are approximately 80 nucleotides in length. The record is from RNAcentral. Lineage: Bacteria; Pseudomonadati; Pseudomonadota; Gammaproteobacteria; Enterobacterales; Morganellaceae.
GUCCCCUUCGUCUAGAGGUCCUAGGACACCGCCCUUUCACGGCGGUAACAGGGGUUCGAAUCCCCUAGGGGACGCCA